UUGGACAAUGGGCGCAAGCCUGAUCCAGCAAUGCCGCGUGAGUGAAGAAGGCCUUCGGGUUGUAAAGCUCUUUCAGUUGAGAAGAAAAGAUUGUAACUAAUAAUUGCGAUCCAUGACGGUACCGGAAUAAGAAGCACCGGCUAACUACGUGCCAGCAGCCGCGGUAAUAAGGGC
Molecule: ribosomal RNA, 174 nt
Filed under: uncultured bacterium
Lineage: Bacteria
Description: partial 16S ribosomal RNA
Rfam family: Bacterial small subunit ribosomal RNA
Source: RNAcentral